RNAcentral lists this small RNA (145 nucleotides) under Pseudomonas orientalis. RNAcentral's name for it is "PrrF RNA". It matches the Rfam family "PrrF RNA". Rfam says of the family: PrrF RNA is a small RNA involved in iron homeostasis and is found exclusively in Pseudomonas species. Their expression is induced under iron limitation by the ferric uptake regulator (Fur) and they act to negatively regulate several genes including sodB and sdh. Lineage: Bacteria; Pseudomonadati; Pseudomonadota; Gammaproteobacteria; Pseudomonadales; Pseudomonadaceae. The record is from RNAcentral.
UUGACUCUCAAAUGAGAAUCGUUAUGAUUAUCACAACUGAUCGCGAGAUCAGCCGAUAACUGAAAGGCCAUUGGUUCGGACUCUCAGAUUAUCUCAUCAGGCUAAUCACGGUUAUUUGACCCGGCUCUUGCCGGGUCUUUUUUUG